Molecule: long non-coding RNA, 2097 nt
Organism: Gallus gallus (chicken)
Lineage: Eukaryota; Metazoa; Chordata; Aves; Galliformes; Phasianidae
Exons: 3
Source: RefSeq, a predicted model, not a curated record
AGAGUUUUGCUGUGUUCCUCUUGACUUCCACUUCUGUGCCCCGCUGGCCAUAUUUUCUUCAUCUCCAAAGAUGGUCUCUUCCUAGUAUGUCCCUCCAGUUAGCAGCUCUGAAAACUGGCCCAAUGCACUGCUUUCUCCUGAGCAACUCCAAUCAUCUAAAUGACUUCAGCAACUAAGUGGUUCUGUUCUACGUCAUCAGCUGGGACUGCUGGGACUGCUCUUCAUUUCAAACAGCAACACUCCUUCCAUGUCUGAGAGCUCAAGUUGAAGGCUGAACAGUGAUUUCUGCACUGCUCAUUUUCUUUCAGAAAGCGUGUACUGCUUCCUGUGUUUCUAUUUCUGUUUCCAAACCACCAAGAAAGGGAAAAAAAGCAGCGGAACAGAGACUCAAACACACGUGAAGUACCAAGCUGGACAACUCAGCAUGAUACUAGAAAUACCUAGAUGUGAGGUUUGGCAUUUAUGGGAUAUUAACAUUAAGUGCUUCAGAAGAUAAACAAGAGAAUUAAACAACAGAUAGCACAGCCAGCUAUGUACAUCAGGGCCACCUCUUAGGAACCGAUCCCUUCAAGAUAUUUGUGCCUAUAGAAGGAAAUGCAAAUGAAGCAAACAAGAAGAUAAUUGAAACCCUUCCUGAGUUACAGCUAUGUUUCCUGCUGGAGAGACUGACAGAUCCAGCAAAGAACAGAGGACACUGAAAAUGUGAACGAACAUGUUGCUGAGUUUGCCACGUUAUUCCCUUCAUAUUUUUUACAUAUACAACAUUUUCCUGGUUGGGACUACAGGUACAAAAUCUUAAAAGGCAAAUCACAAGAGAUACUUGAAAACCAGAAAAGAGCAGAAAUAUUUUUAUGUAUCUGUAGUUAAUGAACAUGCCAAACCCAUCGCUCUACCAAACAGCAUGCCAGCCUGGCUGCUGAGGGACAUGAGAAAUGCAGAUCCCACGGUCAUUCACCACCUGGUUUCUCUGCCAAGAGUUUCUAUGGCCACCUGUCAGUUGUGGAGGGGAUCUUGUCUGUUCUAGAAACAGCUGCCCAGGAUGCACAGUGCUGAGAUCCUUUACAGUAGAACAUUCAUCUUCUACUAUAUCUGCAAUAAGCCUUAUCCCAUGGAUGACUUUGGUAUAACAUGAAGCCCACCUGCAACACACAGUAACUACUGAAAGCUAGUAUAGUUGUAGGGCAUAAUGCAGUUUUUGCCUGACACAAUGGGAGUAAACAGACACUCAGGGUUGGUGCUGACAGCAACUAGAGAUAGCUGGAGAAUUUUUCUUCCUUCACUGGAAAUGGAAAUGUAUCAAUUUCUCCCAGAAAAAAAAAAUCAGCUGAAAUAAAAAUUUUAUCAGAGGAAAGUUUCCAUUGUAUGGCCUUGCAUGUUUGAAUGCAUCUCUUGCAUGAUCUGACAUCUAAAUUUCUCAAAGGAUUUGAUGUGGGAACCUCAGAUACAAUCUUGGGUUUUAUCAAGCCUGAAAAACCUACAUUGGACAUUUCAGAUUAGAGUUAUCUAUCAAAUUCAUAACCAGGAUAUUCUAACUACAAGUAAACUACAGAUUUCCCAAAGAUUACAAGAGACAAGGAAAAAAAAUCACACUGUAUUUUUACAUGAUGGUAGAAGUGCACUGAAGUACUGUUUCCCACUUUCAUAUUGAAAAGGAAAGGUCAUUUUAGCAUCAAAUUACUUCUGUCUUACACUUGAGUUACAUUUAAAUAUACAUUUCAUAAAUGAAGUAUCAUUGCUCAAGUCUUUAAGCUGUAUUGAGUUCACGGCACAAAAAGCCCAGACCUUAUGGUGUCUGUUUUAUCAUACAGAAGUCUACAUAAAAGAAAAUUAGGAAAAAAAAAGAACGUUGUGAAAUUACUCGAAUUAUUACUUUUUUAAUAAUAAAGUUUGCUCUCUAAUAUGAACCAGGAAGUGAAGAGUUGUAGCUCUCACAGUCUCAGACUAAACAUCGGGUCGUGGUUCUUUUUGGCUUCUGUUUAAAAAGGCUAAUUGAUUUGGAAGAGAAAGACACAAAAGAUUUUAUAAUCUAACAAUCUCAGACCAGUGAAAAAAGCGGUCCCUGCUUUUUUGAUUACAAAUAAAUGACCUGCGUAUCCU